This 253-nucleotide ribosomal RNA is filed under the name uncultured bacterium. RNAcentral describes it as "partial 16S ribosomal RNA". It matches the Rfam family "Bacterial small subunit ribosomal RNA", at positions 524 to 776 of the family's 1533-position model. The record is from RNAcentral.
UACGAAGGGGGCUAGCGUUGCUCGGAAUCACUGGGCGUAAAGCGCACGUAGGCGGAUUGUUAAGUCAGGGGUGAAAUCCUGGAGCUCAACUCCAGAACUGCCUUUGAUACUGAAGAUCUUGAGUUCGGGAGAGGUGAGUGGAACUGCGAGUGUAGAGGUGAAAUUCGUAGAUAUUCGGAAGAACACCAGUGGCGAAGGCGACUCACUGGACACAUAUUGACGCUGAGGUGCGAAAGCGUGGGGAGCAAACAGG